AAGAGAUCGGGAUAACACCUGGAAACAGAUGCUAAUACCGGAUAACAACAGAUGAUGCCUAUCAACUGUUUAAAAGAUGGUUCUGCUAUCACUCUUGGAUGGACCUGCGGUGCAUUAGCUAGUUGGUAGGGUAACGGCCUACCAAGGCGAUGAUGCAUAGCCAAGUUGAGAGACUGAUCGGCCACAUUGGGACUGAGACACGGCCCAAACUCCUACGGGAGGCAGCAGGC
This 230-nucleotide ribosomal RNA is filed under the name uncultured Lactobacillus sp. Its description in RNAcentral is "partial 16S ribosomal RNA". It matches the Rfam family "Bacterial small subunit ribosomal RNA", at positions 132 to 354 of the family's 1533-position model. Lineage: Bacteria; Bacillati; Bacillota; Bacilli; Lactobacillales; Lactobacillaceae. The record is from RNAcentral.